GGCGGGUUAGCUCAGUCGGUGAGAGCUUGGUGUUGAAAACACAAGGUCGCAGGUUCGAUUCCCGUUCAGUCC
RNAcentral lists this transfer RNA (72 nucleotides) under Apaloderma vittatum (bar-tailed trogon). It matches the Rfam family "tRNA". From Rfam's summary of the family: Transfer RNA (tRNA) molecules are approximately 80 nucleotides in length. Lineage: Eukaryota; Metazoa; Chordata; Aves; Trogoniformes; Trogonidae. The record is from Rfam by way of RNAcentral.